UUGCUGAAGCUAGUAAAGUGGCGUACGGGUGAGUAACGCGUGGGUAAUCUACCUUCGAAUUGGGGAUAACGUUGCGAAAGUGACGCUAAUACCGGAUAAUAUCAUAGAGACCUUGGUUUUUAUGAUCAAAGAUGGCCUCUCCUUGGAAGCUAUUGUUUGGAGAUGAGCCCGCGUCCCAUUAGCUUGUUGGUAGGGUAAUGGCCUACCAAGGCUACGAUGGGUAGCUGGUCUGAGAGGAUGAUCAGCCACACUGGAACUGACACACGGUCCAGACUCCUACGGGAGGCAGCAGUGAGGAAUUUUGCGCAAUGGGGGAAACCCUGACGCAGCAACGCCGCGUGAGUGAUGAAGGCUUUCGGGUCGUAAAGCUCUGUCAAGUGGGAAGAACUCCCGUGAGGUUAAUACCCUCAUGGUUUGACGGUACCACUGAAGGAAGCACCGGCUAACUCCGUGCCAGCAGCCGCGGUAAUACGGGGGGUGCAAGCGUUAUUCGGAUUUACUGGGCGUAAAGCGCGCGUAGGCGGCCGUUUAAGUCAGAUGUGAAAGCCCGGGGCUCAACCCCGGAAGUGCAUUUGAUACUAUUCGGCUUGAGUAUGGGAGAGGGAAGUGGAAUUCCUGGUGUAGAGGUGAAAUUCGUAGAUAUCAGGAGGAACACCGGUGGCGAAGGCGACUUCCUGGACCAAUACUGACGCUGAGGCGCGAAGGCGUGGGUAGCAAACAGGAUUAGAUACCCUGGUAGUCCACGCAGUAAACGGUGAUCACUAGGUGUAGCGGGUAUUGACCCCUGCUGUGCCGCAGCUAACGCAUUAAGUGAUCCGCCUGGGGAGUACGGCCGCAAGGUUAAAACUCAAAGGAAUUGACGGGGGCCCGCACAAGCGGUGGAGCAUGUGGUUUAAUUCGACGCAACGCGAAGAACCUUACCUGGAUUUGACAUCUCGGGAAUUUCUAUGAAAGUAGAAAGUGCCCUUCGGGGAGCCCGAUGACAGGUGCUGCAUGGCUGUCGUCAGCUCGUGUCGUGAGAUGUUGGGUUAAGUCCCGCAACGAGCGCAACCCCUAUCUUUAGUUACCAGCACUUCGGGUGGGGACUCUAAAGAUACUGCCCCGGUCAACGGGGAGGAAGGUGGGGAUGACGUCAAGUCCUCAUGGCCUUUAUGUCCAGGGCUACACACGUGCUACAAUGGGCAGUACAGAGGGUCGCGACACUGCGAGGUGGAGCUAAUCCCUUAAAGCUGUUCCAAGGGCGGCAUGAAGUCGGAAUCGCUAGUAAUCGCGUAACAGCAUGACGCGGUGAAUACGUUCCCGGGCCUUGUACACACCGCCCGUC
Molecule: ribosomal RNA, 1324 nt
Filed under: metagenome
Description: bacterial SSU rRNA
Rfam family: Bacterial small subunit ribosomal RNA
Source: RNAcentral